CGUGAGCGGCGGCCAGGCCGCUCUGCUUGGCGCUCAUGUCCGCCCUGCUCCGGACCGGGCCGCGCGCUGUGCCCCGAGAGCCAAGAAGGCAGGAGCGAACGCGGGAGCUAGAGGGCAGGGCCGAGGCGCUGCGGCCGGCCCAGAGAGGCCCCCGCACGUCCAGGGCCGCCGCCCGGCGCCCCGAGGGGCAGUCGGCGCCCGGCGCGCUCUUCUCGGGGCGGUGGGCAAGGCUGGCGGCCUGACGCGGGCGCGGGAGACGAGGAGACGCGGAGAAGAAGGUGUCCCGGCUGCAGGCACCCCUCGCUGUCUCCAGCAGGAAGGGGCGACUCAGGUGGCGGUGCGACUGCCGCUGGUUUCGGUUCUGGUGCGCCAUGACGGGCCGCUGCCGCUUUCUGCCGCCGCGCUUGGCGCCCCGGGCCUCCGCACCGCCUAGUCUCCGGCGGCCGCUGCUACCGCCGCCAUCCUCCGGCUCCCACGGCGGCUGGCGGCUGAGUGGGAGGCGCCCGCCCAGACUCCGCCGGAGCCACCUUCCCUCCUCCCCCAGCCACCCAGCCGUUAUUAACGGAGAAAGAGGAAAAACGGGUGGCGCGCGAGGGGAGGACGAAGAAUGGGAGGGAGGGAGGGGUGGCCCGCGCUUCCCGGCAACCGUCGCUUCCCUCCCCCUGCGAGAUUAAUUUCACAGGGGAUUAAUUUCUCAUUUACAAAUAAAAAUGUAAUCAUAGCCUCCUGGUAUCGCACAUCCAUGGGAAUACUGAAUUUAUUUGGACUAGAAACUAACACCUGCUGGAAUGUCACCAGAAUAGAACCUCUUAAUGAAGUUCAAAGCUGUGAAGGAUGUCAUGCCCAGAGCUGUAGCGGUCAUCUUGUGACCAUAAGGGAAAGGCCAUAAAAAUAGCAGAUAUAUCUGGCCUACCAUCCUUCUGCUGCUGAACCAAUGCCAACAGUGGGACUCAACUAGGAGGUCUUAUUACAGUACUGUGCUGCUUUUUCAACCAUGGAGAGGUCACUCGUGUGAUGUGGACACCACCUCUCCGUGAAAGUUUUUCCUAUCCAUUUCUUGUACUUCAGAUGUAUAUUUUAACUUUGAUUCUCAGACUGUUCGUGAUAUUUCGUGUGUUUUAGCUACAAACACUUAUCUAAGAUGCUGUCUUCGCAGUGCCAUGCCUACAAUGGCAAGCGUGAAGCUGUCUACACUUCAUCCCAUUGUGAAUCAUCCACAUUACGAAGAUGCAGACUUGAGGUUGGCGGCCGAUGAGUAUUUCAUCAAGACUCACUUGGGCCCAGACAAAAAUAGUUUAUUCUACAUAUAGUCGAAAAUCUGCCAAAGAAGUAAGAGAUAAAUUGUUGGAGUUACAUGUGAAUUAUUAUGUUUUAGAAGAGGCAUGGUGUGUUGUGAGAACUAAGCCUGGUUGCAGUAUGCUUGAAAUCUGGGAUGUGGAAGACCCUUCCAAUGCAGCUAACCCUCCCUUACGUAGCAUCCUGCUCGAAGAUGCCAGGCUCGAAGAUGCCAGUAUUUCAGAAUAGUGUGUACAGAGUAUUGAAGGUUAACUGAGAAGGAAACUACCCAUUACACUAUGGCACAAUGCCGUGUGUCAAAAACAAUCACCCUUUGGCUUAUUUACAUUAAUAAAAAUCACAAGCUUUAAUAACAGACACUUAAAAAUAAGAUAAAAAUGGAUUGAAAGUUUUUCUGAUUACUAAAAGGUAAAUUACUUUUCUGUUCAUUGAAUGUCAGCCUUAUUAAGCUUGUCAUAUAAAUUAUUCAAUCAUGUCAUACUGCAUAAACAAAUGUUCAUUUCAGAGUUUUAAAGAGAAAUGUAUAUAAAAGAACAAUGAAUUUUAAUAAAUCAAGGGUACGUAAGUCCCUUUUCAUCCACC
This is an RNA transcript of Homo sapiens (human), 1878 nucleotides long. It is a transcript of the gene named DPY19L2 pseudogene 3, with no coding region annotated. The record is from RefSeq and is marked validated. Lineage: Eukaryota; Metazoa; Chordata; Mammalia; Primates; Hominidae. The transcript has 9 exons.